AAAAUAAUCGUACCUCGUAGAAACCGCACCUGUGUGACUGGUCGUGUGAUUGAUGUGUACCAUUUCCUGUCUGAGUUCGUUUUCUGUACUGAAUAAGUGAUUUUAUUGGGGACUCAAAGAAAAAAGAUAACACAUCGGUGGAUAGUGCACGAGCUAGACCUGUUAUGACAUCAUUUCCGGUCUAGGAAGGGAGAUAACCAUAGAUAGAGCUGACUAACCAAUCAUUUACUUCUAUUUGGUCACGAGGUCAUGUCUACAUACAAAGAGUACAAAGCACGGAAGGAAGCGAAAGAACAUGAACUCGGUCCACACAGUCACGAAGACUCUGUCGAAGAUGAAGAUAGUUGGUUUCGGCGACGGCAAGACCGAGAGCGGUACCACACAACCGCCGUGGACCAGUCCACCUUAAACAGUCUCCGGUCUUCGUCCCCAAUCCACAAAUCCUCCUCCCCCUCCAGCAUAAUGACCACGUCCACGAACAGCGGCAAACUCGCCCAGGAGAUUCAUGAUGAGUUCCUCACAUGUAAGAUAUGCCUGGAGGGGUACAAGAGUCCAAAAUGCCUGGAUUGCCUCCACACCUUCUGUGAGCAGUGUAUUGACAAUCAUGUCAUGUCGGAAUGUACGUACAAAAAGUACAGCGAUUAUCGAGAGUUCACUUGCCCGCUCUGCCGUAAGCGAACCCAGUUGCCCAUCGGUGGGGUAAAAAAGCUUCCAGAUAACUUCCUGGUUUCCAACCUUUCGGAGCUUGUCGUUCGACAGCGGCCUUCUAAGUUUCCUUUCUGCGACAUCUGUAAACUUGUUAACCGGAAGCACCGCGAAGCGGCCUCAAAAUGUUUGGAUUGCAACAAGUUGCUGUGUAAAACAUGCGUCGAACUUCAUCGAGAGACGAAGGUCACGAAGAACCACAGCAUUUUCGACUGCGAUAUUGAGAAAGAUAUUGAAUGUAAGGAACACAAGGAGGAAGCGGUCAGAUUUUACUGUGAGCCAUGUGAAACAUGCAUUUGUGUUCUCUGUACUUUUAAUGAACACAAAGAUCACGAAAUAACGUCCUUUGCCGAUGCGGUUGUGAAGUACAAGGAGAAUAUACAGACACUGUUGGACAGUUGCAAGUCAAAGAUUGAUCUGUAUGAUACACAGUUAGGAACCCUCGGCAAAUGCGAAAUCCUGAUCAAAUCUGCUGAACAGAAAAUUCGUGAUACUGCUAUACAAUUUAUAGCCGAUGUCCGUGCCAGAGAAAAGGAACUGAUUGAUGAUUUACACUCGUUAUAUGGUGCGGACUUAAUGAAACACGUUGACAAAAGAGACGAAUUGCAGAUAAAUCUUGAAGGAUUAAAGAGUACGUGCAGUUUAACUGAAAUUGUACUCAAAGGAAAGGAUAUAGAACUGUUGCUGCUUAAGAAACAGGUUCAGGAAAAGUUGACAACUUUGGGGAACAUUGAGCUGAGCCAUUUACCAGACAGCGUUACGAAAGAAGUCACUUUCAAUGCAGGGUCAUUGGAUCUUGGGACACUUGAGGACCUUGGAACCCCGCGUCAGAGCAUGAACCGUACUCUCUCAAUGCCGGGAACCAUGCGAAAAGGGAACAGCAGGUCUGCAUCCGUUCAAACUGAGAAAGAAGAACCGCCUCCAAAGCCAAAACAAGUGGAAAAGUAUAUUCAGACAGAAAUAGAAGAGAAGAAAGAAGAGUCGGAUUCCGAUAGCGUAUUUUCGAGCCACGAGGAAAAGUCCACGGAAACUGAGGCAGUGGAGACCGUGGAGAAGGGUGUCAACACGCGUUCACGCAGCCUGCAACAUUCUGUUCAGUCGAGUAGCUCCGUUGACACAACGGAGGGACAAAACGGAUAUCAGGAUGCACCGUCGUCUCCAUCCCAGCAGAGACGUCACCGCCGCAGGCGUGAGCGCAGUCGACAAGAGGUAUCAGGCCCAAUGACAGCAACCAUUACUAACGUUGAGCCGCAAGUUCCCAUCAGCCGGGGCCCGGCUCUUUCUUAUAGUAGUAGCAUUGACGAUAAUACCUAUUCACCGGACGGAGGUAAUACGGUUACAACGGGGCAAUAUAAGUCUUUUCGUGCCUAUCCUAUAGACUCUCCCGAUGCCCCUGAUUUUGGAUUUUGAUAUAUAUAUACCUCUAUAUUCAAUGAUUAUUUCGUCUGCUCUUUCACACCUGGGAAUGCCUUGAGCACAUAUUUCAUCCCUAUUAUUUGGAGUACGUGUGUAUCUGAUGUGUUGUAUUCCCUUGAGCCUGUCUGGUGUGUCUAUUCAUAUUCUGUGUGUUUCUGAUAUUCAUUAAGCAUUCAUAAUGCAUAUGAGUGAUCGUUUCGUUCGAUGGUGUUCGUUGUCCUUAUACAGAAAGUCGCCUUCACACCACCCCGUGUAUCAUUACCCUCAACCAUGUGGUAACUGUACCUUUACUUUAAAUUAGUAUGUGUUCAGUCUGAAACCUAUACGUUUAUUUAGUGUAAUAUUAGUGUUCAAAUCAUCAAUCGUUUCCAGUCCCAGCAUGAUAACUAUUGUGGACAUCACAUUCAUUUUCGUAUCCCUCCUUCAAUAUACUAGUUUCUAAGCUAGAGCAAGCUUAAAUAGAAAAUAACUGCUAAAGGGUUGUAUUUUAUCGUGAUUCUAUCCCGUAGAAUUAAAAUGAUGUUGUAAAUCGUGACUACUUACCUAACCUCCGUCCAGGUGUAAAACAAAUGCAUCUUGAUGCUCAUCGGCUACGACGAAGCUGCAAUGAUGACGUGUUGUAAUAUGUGACGUCAUGUUCUGCUGCGUGAAGCCAUGCUUUCGCAAUGUAGUGUCUUAUAGAAUGUGUGUCUAGCAUAUAUGUAUCAUGCGUUUGUGAGUAAUUGAAACUAAACAACAAUAUGUGAAAAGUUGGACUGGCCAGAUGUGUCGAGGACUGAUGAACUGCUUACAUCAGGGAAACGCUGGCAGCAAACAUUAAAGCCUUUUAAAGUCAAAAAAGUGCAACCUUGCGUAAAAUCGCAAAGUAUCGCAUCAUAACGCGGGAAGGAUAUUGUCAAGCUAAUGAUGGAGCAAAGUCAGUGACCGGAACAAAAAAAAACUUUCAAAAACUCAAUAAACAAACACCCUACAAUGCAACAAAAUGUGUUCACUAUUUGACAUGGACUUUUUCAGACAAGUCAAAGCCCCCCGAGCGAGCCACGACCCUUGCUUACUUCAGCUUCGGGAGCCCCAAUUCCUAGGUACCACAAAAGUUCCUUUGCUUCAUAUCGCAUGCCUUAAUUGGCAGGCAAAAACAUGCUAAUGUGGUAUGUGAGGGUCUGUGCAUAAAGUGGUGCUGCGGGCAAUCAGUUGUUGACAUAUUUAAGGUUUAUCUAUCAAUUAUGUAUAAAAAUAAGGAUUUACCAUAAAAUUAUAUUCCCACCAUUUGUGAAUAAUAUAAAUAAGCUUCAUUAGUGCUUUUUCACCAUUUUUUCCAUUUUCUGUUUAGACAAUGUAUAGGAAAUUUUAAUUUAUGUCUUAAAUUGCAAUCCAUGAUUGUCCUGAGUUUUAAAUGUUUUAAUUUAAAACUCGUAAAGAAGUGUGCAAACUAAGAAAAUUUGUUUCCAGCUGGUGUAUUUUGCUUUUAUAGAUUUGAAGUUGAAAGGAAGAUAACUUAAACUAUACCCACAUUCUAUCUAUUUAUGCUUUACAACUAAUGAAAUGUAUAUUCUGCUUACAAAUAUUCUUAGAUAGUAAACUAUGAUUUAUAAUCAUAUAUCAUUGACGAAUUUAGAAGACACACAUAUUGACACAUAUACUUUUUGUCAUUUUUGGUUGAUAAAAACUUCCAUUUCAUACUGCACUUUUGUUAAUAUUUCAUUUCAUGAAAUGUAUUAGUUAAAGUAGUUUCUGCACACAUAGCAUUCGUUUCGUUUCUCGGAUAAAACGGUUGUCUUAUGAAUAGUUAAAUAUGCAUUCGGCAAGUCAAAAAGUGUGAUAUUGUGCCGAAAUAUAUGUUUGAAGAUUAACAAAUUAUUUUGUGCAAAGGUGUACCAACCGGACCUCCAAAAGCUAUUUCCAAUACACUUUACAAUUGGCGGAAUUGCUUUAAACUGCUUAACCUCGCUAAAAUUUCAUUGAAUUGUUUUAGCUUCAUUUACUGUUUUAUUGUUUGACAAUGCAUUGUACUCAAUCAGUUUUAGCGAAUCAUGUAUAAACUUACCGAUUGUCUAUUUUUAAUACAUCUUAGGUAGCAAGGAACUUUGUCUUUUCACCCACAUCAGUGUUCAGAUCGUCUAUGUAAACCCCUUUCUAAAUUCGCGCAUGUACCAUGUUCUGUAGUUUAUGAUUUGCUUUGCAAUACCCUUGUGAUUGAAAUUAUACACUUGCUUAAAGCGCUCGUGUAUAAUUUCAAUAUCAAGGGUUGUGUGUGGAUUACCUAUUACUUUGGUAACUACAUAACAACAUACACCAAAGUUUCUACCGUAUGUGAAACAUUCUACACACAAAAAAUCUCAUGCGUCUCGGCAAAUGUCAUUAAACCAGAUAUUCCUCAGGCUGACAGUAUGUAAGCAUUCUUCUAUAUUGUUUUGCGUCUAAACGAAAGCAGGUAGAACCGACAACAGCUAAACUAAAGGAGGAUUUACAAUGAACCCAGCUUUGAGUACUUUCAGUGCUUUGAUUUUAGUGAAUGUACACAAGUGUUUGUUUUCUCUCUAUUUCACGCGUAUCUCUAUACUUUAAUGUCGUAUAGCGAUUUCUCAACCGAUAAGAAAGAGGGAAAUGUAUCUGUAAUCAUAAUAGAUAAAAAGCACACACAUUGAGAUUUUAUCAUAUUUGUCGAUUAGUUUACGUUGCUUAGUGUCAGUAUAUAAUACAUUUAAUAGUCAGUGUUCGGUAGACAAAAUUACUAUCUGCAUUAUGUUUUGCAUUUUAAAAAUAUUGAUAUGUAAAUCAUAUGUAAAAAUAUUAUAUAUAGUGAUUGGUUACUCGAUGUAUCAAAACAUGUACAGAUCGUGUUAUAAUGAUAAUGAUAAUAAUAUAAAUCAUGCGUUAAUAAAUUGCUUUUCAACA
RNA transcript from Mya arenaria, 5016 nucleotides. It is a transcript of the gene named E3 ubiquitin-protein ligase TRIM56-like, with no coding region annotated. The transcript is spliced from 4 exons. The record is from RefSeq and is a predicted model, not a curated record. NCBI's taxonomy places the organism in Eukaryota, Metazoa, Mollusca, Bivalvia, Myida, Myidae.